This 986-nucleotide ribosomal RNA is filed under the name Candidatus Woesearchaeota archaeon. Its description in RNAcentral is "partial 23S ribosomal RNA". It matches the Rfam family "Archaeal large subunit ribosomal RNA", at positions 2001 to 2987 of the family's 2987-position model. Lineage: Archaea; Nanobdellati; Candidatus Woesearchaeota. The record is from RNAcentral.
UAAACGGCGGGGGUAACUAUAACUCUCUUAAGGUAGCGAAAUGCCUUGCCGUUUGAUUGACGGCUUGCAUGAAUGGCGUAACGAGAUCUCCACUGUCCCCAGUUGGAAGCCAUUGAACACUCUAUCCUGGUGUAAAGGCCAGGGAUUUCCAGUGGGAAGCGAAGACCCCGUGAAACUUUACUGUAGUCUGUUGCUGUGAUGUGGAUUUUAACGCACAGCGUAAAUGGGAGCUGUUCGACCCAGUUGCUUUCGGGCUUCUGGUUAGGCGAAAAUGUAACACCAUUCUUUGGAGUUCACAUCAUUUACUCGUAAUAUGCGAGGACACCGACAGAUGGACAGUUUGGCUGGGGUGGCACCCCGCCGAAAAAAUAUCGGCGGGGCCCUAAGGUUAGCUCAAGCGGGUCAGAAAUCCGUUGUAGAGCGCAAGAGCAAAAGCUAGCCUGAUUGGAUUCUUAACAUGAAAGAUUCCAACCACGAAAGUGUGGUCUAGCGAACCUCUGUGUCCUCAUUGAUGGGGGCCAGAGAUGACCGAAAAGUUACUCCGGGGAUAACAGAGUUGUCGCGCCCGAGAGUUCAUAUCGACGGCGCGGUUUGCUACAUCGAUGUCGGCUCUUCCUAUCCUGGGUGUGCAGAAGCAUCCAAGGGUGAAGGUGUUCACUUAUUAAAAGGGAUCGUGAGCUGGGUUCAGUACGCUGUGAGGCAGUAUGUUUGAUAUCUACUGGAAAUGUAUUAAUGUCUGAGAGGAAGGAGUAUCUAGUACGAGAGGAACGGUACUUCGAAGCCACUGGUCUACCUGUUAUCUGACAAGGUAUGCAGGGCAGCUACGCUUUAAGAGCUAAGUGCUGAAAGCAUCUAAGCACGAAAUUCGCCUCGAAAAGAGACAUAAGAAGCUCCUGUAAAAGACAGGUUUGAUAGAACCAAUGUGUAAGUGUUAAGGCAACGAGAUAUUCAGCAUGUGGUUACUAAACGCUUCGUUAUACACUCUU